GGCGGACGGGUGAGUAAUGUAUAGUUAAUCUGCCCUUUAGAGGGGGAUAACAGUUGGAAACGACUGCUAAUACCCCAUACUCCUUUUAUCUUAAUGAUAAUUGGGAAACGUUUUUCGCUAAAGGAUGAGACUAUAUGGUAUCAGGUAGUUGGUAGGGUAAGAGCCUACCAAGCCAAUGACGCCUAGCUGGUCUGAGAGGAUGAUCAGCCACACUGGAACUGAGACACGGUCCAG
This 234-nucleotide ribosomal RNA is filed under the name uncultured bacterium. RNAcentral describes it as "partial 16S ribosomal RNA". It matches the Rfam family "Bacterial small subunit ribosomal RNA", at positions 97 to 334 of the family's 1533-position model. The record is from RNAcentral.